This 257-nucleotide ribosomal RNA is filed under the name uncultured bacterium. RNAcentral's name for it is "partial 16S ribosomal RNA". It matches the Rfam family "Bacterial small subunit ribosomal RNA", at positions 15 to 273 of the family's 1533-position model. The record is from RNAcentral.
GAUCCUGGCUCAGAUUGAACGCUGGCGGCAGGCUUAACACAUGCAAGUCGAGCGGGGAAGGUUGCUUCGGUAACUGACCUAGCGGCGGACGGGUGAGUAAUGCUUAGGAAUCUGCCUAUUAGUGGGGGACAACAUUCCGAAAGGAAUGCUAAUACCGCAUACGCCCUACGGGGGAAAGGCAGGGGAUCUUCGGACCUUGCGCUAAUAGAUGAGCCUAAGUCGGAUUAGCUAGUUGGUGGGGUAAAGGCCUACCAAGG